GGGGCUGUGGCUCAGUGGAAGAGUGCCUGCUUUGCAUGCUGAAGGUCCUGGGUUCAGUCCUCAGCCUCUCUU
This 72-nucleotide transfer RNA is filed under the name Sphaerodactylus townsendi. Its description in RNAcentral is "tRNA-Ala". It matches the Rfam family "tRNA". Rfam says of the family: Transfer RNA (tRNA) molecules are approximately 80 nucleotides in length. Their secondary structure includes four short double-helical elements and three loops (D, anti-codon, and T loops). Lineage: Eukaryota; Metazoa; Chordata; Lepidosauria; Squamata; Sphaerodactylidae. The record is from RNAcentral.